AUUGGUGACAGGUGGUGCAUGGUUGUCGUCAGCUCGUGUCGUGAGAUGUUGGGUUAAGUCCCGCAACGAGCGCAACCCUUGUCUUUAGUUGCCAUCAUUAAGUUGGGCACUCUAGAGAGACUGCCAGGGAUAACCUGGAGGAAGGUGGGGAUGACGUCAAAUCAUCAUGCCCCUUAUGCUUAGGGCUACACACGUGCUACAAUG
This 204-nucleotide ribosomal RNA is filed under the name Clostridioides difficile. RNAcentral's name for it is "partial 16S ribosomal RNA". It matches the Rfam family "Bacterial small subunit ribosomal RNA", at positions 1027 to 1232 of the family's 1533-position model. Lineage: Bacteria; Bacillati; Bacillota; Clostridia; Peptostreptococcales; Peptostreptococcaceae. The record is from RNAcentral.